Molecule: ribosomal RNA, 503 nt
Filed under: uncultured bacterium
Lineage: Bacteria
Description: partial 16S ribosomal RNA
Rfam family: Bacterial small subunit ribosomal RNA
Source: RNAcentral
AUUGAACGCUGGCGGCAGGCUUAACACAUGCAAGUCGAGCGGGGUGAUGGUGCUUGCACUAUCACUUAGCGGCGGACGGGUGAGUAAUGCUUAGGAAUCUGCCUAUUAGUGGGGGACAACAUCUCGAAAGGGAUGCUAAUACCGCAUACGUCCUACGGGAGAAAGCAGGGGAUCACUUGUGACCUUGCGCUAAUAGAUGAGCCUAAGUCGGAUUAGCUAGUGGGUGGGGUAAAGGCCUACCAAGGCGACGAUCUGUAGCGGGUCUGAGAGGAUGGUCCGCCACACUGGGGCUGAGAGACGGCCCAGACUCCUACGGGAGGGAGCAGUGGGGAAUAUUGGACAAUGGGGGGAACCCUGAUCCAGCCAUGCCGCGUGUGUGAAGAAGGCCUUAUGGUUGUAAAGCACUUUAAGCGAGGAGGAGGCUCUUUUGGUUAAUACCCAAGAUGAGUGGACGUUACUCGCAGAAUAAGCACCGGCUAACUCUGUGCCAGCAGCCGCGGUAA